CAAAAGUUUGGUCCUGACUUUGUUAACAGCUCUAGUCAAAAUUAUACAUGCAAGUAUCCGCACCCCCGUGAGAAUGCCCUAUGGUCCCUGCUUGGGAAAUAGGAGCUGGUAUCAGGCUCACCCCGACUGUAGCCCACGACGCCUUGCUUAGCCACACCCUCAAGGGUAUUCAGCAGUGAUCGACCUUAAGCCAUAAGUGAAAACUUGACUUAGCCAUGACUAAUUGAGGGCCGGUAAAACUCGUGCCAGCCACCGCGGUUAUACGAUGAAGCCCAAGUUGUUAGCCUUCGGCGUAAAGAGUGGUUAGAGUACCCCAACAAAACUAAGGCCGAACACCUUCAGGGCAGUCAUACGCUUUCGAAGGCAUGAAGCACACCAACGAAAGUAGCCUUACCAGACUUGAACCCACGAAAGCUAAGAUACAAACUGGGAUUAGAUACCCCACUAUGCUUAGCCCUAAACAAUGAUUACACCUACACUCAAACUCCGCCUGGAUAUUACGAGCGUUUAGCUUAAAACCCAAAGGACUUGGCGGUGCUUUAAACCCCCCUAGAGGAGCCUGUUCUAUAAUCGAUACCCCCCGUUAAACCUCACCCCUUCUUGUUCUACCCGCCUAUAUACCACCGUCGUCAGCCUACCCUGUGAAGGCCUAGUAGUAGGCAAAGCUAGCAUAGCCCAAAACGUCAGGUCAAGGUGUAGCGAAUGAAGGGGAAAGAAAUGGGCUACAUUCUCUGCCCAGAGAACAACGAAUGAUGUGUUGAAUACACCACCUGAAGGAGGAUUUAGUAGUAAGCAAGAA
This 799-nucleotide ribosomal RNA is filed under the name Lagocephalus laevigatus (smooth puffer). Its description in RNAcentral is "partial 12S ribosomal RNA". It matches the Rfam family "Bacterial small subunit ribosomal RNA", at positions 7 to 1348 of the family's 1533-position model. Lineage: Eukaryota; Metazoa; Chordata; Actinopteri; Tetraodontiformes; Tetraodontidae. The record is from RNAcentral.